UAGUCUACGCCGUAAACGAUGGAUACUAGUUGUUUGGCCUUCGGGCUGAGUGACUAAGCGAAAGUGAUAAGUAUCCCACCUGGGGAGUACGUUCGCAAGAAUGAAAUUCAAAGGAAUUGACGGGGGCCCGCACAAGCGGUGGAGCAUGUGGUUUAAUUCGAUGAUACGCGAGGAACCUUACCAGGGCUUAAAUGUAGUCUGACAGCUUUAGAGAUAGAGUUUUCUUCGGACAGAUUACAAGGUGCUGCAUGGUUGUCGUCAGCUCGUGCCGUGAGGUGCCAGGUUAAGUCCUAUAACGAGCGCAACCCCUGUGGUUAGUUGCCAGCGAGUAAUGUCGGGAACUCUAGCCAGACUGCCGGUGCAAACCGUGAGGAAGGUAAGGAUGACGUCAAGUCAGCAUGCCCCUUACGCUCUGGGCUACACACGUGCUACAAUGGUCGUGACAAAGAGUUGCUAGUCUGCGAAGGCAAGCCAAUCUCAUAAACGCGGCCUUAGUUCGGAUUG
Molecule: ribosomal RNA, 504 nt
Filed under: uncultured bacterium
Lineage: Bacteria
Description: bacterial SSU rRNA
Rfam family: Bacterial small subunit ribosomal RNA
Source: RNAcentral